RNAcentral lists this ribosomal RNA (1439 nucleotides) under Acinetobacter johnsonii. Its description in RNAcentral is "bacterial SSU rRNA". It matches the Rfam family "Bacterial small subunit ribosomal RNA". The record is from RNAcentral. Lineage: Bacteria; Pseudomonadati; Pseudomonadota; Gammaproteobacteria; Moraxellales; Moraxellaceae.
UUAGCGUGGGCGGGCGGGCUUAACACAUGCAAGUCGAGCGGGGGAGAGGUAGCUUGCUACCUGAACCUAGCGGCGGACGGGUGAGUAAUGCUUAGGAAUCUGCCUAUUAGUGGGGGACAACAUUCCGAAAGGAAUGCUAAUACCGCAUACGCCCUACGGGGGAAAGCAGGGGAUCUUCGGACCUUGCGCUAAUAGAUGAGCCUAAGUCAGAUUAGCUAGUUGGUGGGGUAAAGGCCUACCAAGGCGACGAUCUGUAGCGGGUCUGAGAGGGACGAUCCCUCACACUGGACUGAGACCCGCCCAGACUCCUACGGGAGGCAGCAGUGGAAUACUGACAAUGGCGCAAGCCUGAUCCAGCAUGCGCGUGUGUGAAGAAGCUUUGGUGUAAAGCACUUAGCGGAGGAGGAGGCUACUAGAUAAUACUCUAGGAUAGUGGACGUUACUCGCAGAUAGCACCGGCUAACUCUGUGCCAGCAGCCGCGGUAAUACAGAGGGUGCGAGCGUUAAUCGGAUUUACUGGGCGUAAAGCGUGCGUAGGCGGCUUUUAAGUCGGAUGUGAAAUCCCUGAGCUUAACUUAGGAAUUGCAUUCGAUACUGGGAAGCUAGAGUAUGGGAGAGGAUGGUAGAAUUCCAGGUGUAGCGGUGAAAUGCGUAGAGAUCUGGAGGAAUACCGAUGGCGAAGGCAGCCAUCUGGCCUAAUACUGACGCUGAGGUACGAAAGCAUGGGGAGCAAACAGGAUUAGAUACCCUGGUAGUCCAUGCCGUAAACGAUGUCUACUAGCCGUUGGGGCCUUUGAGGCUUUAGUGGCGCAGCUAACGCGAUAAGUAGACCGCCUGGGGAGUACGGUCGCAAGACUAAAACUCAAAUGAAUUGACGGGGGCCCGCACAAGCGGUGGAGCAUGUGGUUUAAUUCGAUGCAACGCGAAGAACCUUACCUGGUCUUGACAUAGUAAGAACUUUCCAGAGAUGGAUUGGUGCCUUCGGGAACUUACAUACAGGUGCUGCAUGGCUGUCGUCAGCUCGUGUCGUGAGAUGUUGGGUUAAGUCCCGCAACGAGCGCAACCCUUUUCCUUAUUUGCCAGCGGGUUAAGCCGGGAACUUUAAGGAUACUGCCAGUGACAAACUGGAGGAAGGCGGGGACGACGUCAAGUCAUCAUGGCCCUUACGACCAGGGCUACACACGUGCUACAAUGGUCGGUACAAAGGGUUGCUACCUAGCGAUAGGAUGCUAAUCUCAAAAAGCCGAUCGUAGUCCGGAUUGGAGUCUGCAACUCGACUCCAUGAAGUCGGAAUCGCUAGUAAUCGCGGAUCAGAAUGCCGCGGUGAAUACGUUCCCGGGCCUUGUACACACCGCCCGUCACACCAUGGGAAUUGUGUUGCACCAGAAGUAGGUAGUCUAACCGCAAGGAGGACGCUACCACGGUGUGCCGAGAACCGA